UACAGAGGGGGCAAGCGUUAUUCGGAAUUAUUGGGCGUAAAGGGCGCGUAGGCGGCUUGAUAAGUCACGGGUGAAAUCCCUCGGCUCAACCGAGGAACUGCCCUUGAUACUGUCAGGCUCGAGGCCGGGAGGGGGUAGCGGAAUUCCCAGUGUAGCGGUGAAAUGCGUAGAUAUUGGGAGGAACACCGGUGGCGAAGGCGGCUACCUGGACCGGUUCUGACGCUGAUGCGCGAAAGCGUGGGGAGCAAACAGG
This 253-nucleotide ribosomal RNA is filed under the name uncultured bacterium. RNAcentral describes it as "partial 16S ribosomal RNA". It matches the Rfam family "Bacterial small subunit ribosomal RNA", at positions 524 to 776 of the family's 1533-position model. The record is from RNAcentral.